Molecule: ribosomal RNA, 459 nt
Filed under: uncultured bacterium
Lineage: Bacteria
Description: partial 16S ribosomal RNA
Rfam family: Bacterial small subunit ribosomal RNA
Source: RNAcentral
CCUACGGGAGGCAGCAGUGAGGAAUAUUGGUCAAUGGGCGCGAGCCUGAACCAGCCAAGUCGCGUGAGGGAAGACGGUCCUAUGGAUUGUAAACCUCUUUUGUCGGGGAGCAAAAGACGCCACGCGUGGCGUUCCGAGAGUACCCGAAGAAAAAGCAUCGGCUAACUCCGUGCCAGCAGCCGCGGUAAUACGGAGGAUGCGAGCGUUGUCCGGAUUGAUUGGGUUUAAAGGGUGCGCAGGCGGAAGAUCAAGUCAGCGGUAAAAUUGAGAGGCUCAACCUCUUCGAGCCGUUGAAACUGGUUUUCUUGAGUGAGCGAGAGGUAUGCGGAAUGAGUGGUGUAGCGGUGAAAUGCAUAGAUAUCACGCAGAACUCCGAUUGCGAAGGCAGCAUACCGGCGCUCAACUGACGCUCAUGCACGAAAGUGUGGGUAUCGAACAGGAUUAGAUACCCGGGUAGUC